Molecule: ribosomal RNA, 2904 nt
Filed under: Escherichia coli
Lineage: Bacteria; Pseudomonadati; Pseudomonadota; Gammaproteobacteria; Enterobacterales; Enterobacteriaceae
Description: 23S ribosomal RNA
Rfam family: Bacterial large subunit ribosomal RNA
Source: RNAcentral
GGUUAAGCGACUAAGCGUACACGGUGGAUGCCCUGGCAGUCAGAGGCGAUGAAGGACGUGCUAAUCUGCGAUAAGCGUCGGUAAGGUGAUAUGAACCGUUAUAACCGGCGAUUUCCGAAUGGGGAAACCCAGUGUGAUUCGUCACACUAUCAUUAACUGAAUCCAUAGGUUAAUGAGGCGAACCGGGGGAACUGAAACAUCUAAGUACCCCGAGGAAAAGAAAUCAACCGAGAUUCCCCCAGUAGCGGCGAGCGAACGGGGAGGAGCCCAGAGCCUGAAUCAGUGUGUGUGUUAGUGGAAGCGUCUGGAAAGGCGCGCGAUACAGGGUGACAGCCCCGUACACAAAAAUGCACAUGCUGUGAGCUCGAUGAGUAGGGCGGGACACGUGGUAUCCUGUCUGAAUAUGGGGGGACCAUCCUCCAAGGCUAAAUACUCCUGACUGACCGAUAGUGAACCAGUACCGUGAGGGAAAGGCGAAAAGAACCCCGGCGAGGGGAGUGAAAAAGAACCUGAAACCGUGUACGUACAAGCAGUGGGAGCACGCUUAGGCGUGUGACUGCGUACCUUUUGUAUAAUGGGUCAGCGACUUAUAUUCUGUAGCAAGGUUAACCGAAUAGGGGAGCCGAAGGGAAACCGAGUCUUAACUGGGCGUUAAGUUGCAGGGUAUAGACCCGAAACCCGGUGAUCUAGCCAUGGGCAGGUUGAAGGUUGGGUAACACUAACUGGAGGACCGAACCGACUAAUGUUGAAAAAUUAGCGGAUGACUUGUGGCUGGGGGUGAAAGGCCAAUCAAACCGGGAGAUAGCUGGUUCUCCCCGAAAGCUAUUUAGGUAGCGCCUCGUGAAUUCAUCUCCGGGGGUAGAGCACUGUUUCGGCAAGGGGGUCAUCCCGACUUACCAACCCGAUGCAAACUGCGAAUACCGGAGAAUGUUAUCACGGGAGACACACGGCGGGUGCUAACGUCCGUCGUGAAGAGGGAAACAACCCAGACCGCCAGCUAAGGUCCCAAAGUCAUGGUUAAGUGGGAAACGAUGUGGGAAGGCCCAGACAGCCAGGAUGUUGGCUUAGAAGCAGCCAUCAUUUAAAGAAAGCGUAAUAGCUCACUGGUCGAGUCGGCCUGCGCGGAAGAUGUAACGGGGCUAAACCAUGCACCGAAGCUGCGGCAGCGACGCUUAUGCGUUGUUGGGUAGGGGAGCGUUCUGUAAGCCUGCGAAGGUGUGCUGUGAGGCAUGCUGGAGGUAUCAGAAGUGCGAAUGCUGACAUAAGUAACGAUAAAGCGGGUGAAAAGCCCGCUCGCCGGAAGACCAAGGGUUCCUGUCCAACGUUAAUCGGGGCAGGGUGAGUCGACCCCUAAGGCGAGGCCGAAAGGCGUAGUCGAUGGGAAACAGGUUAAUAUUCCUGUACUUGGUGUUACUGCGAAGGGGGGACGGAGAAGGCUAUGUUGGCCGGGCGACGGUUGUCCCGGUUUAAGCGUGUAGGCUGGUUUUCCAGGCAAAUCCGGAAAACUAAGGCUGAGGCGUGAUGACGAGGCACUACGGUGCUGAAGCAACAAAUGCCCUGCUUCCAGGAAAAGCCUCUAAGCAUCAGGUAACAUCAAAUCGUACCCCAAACCGACACAGGUGGUCAGGUAGAGAAUACCAAGGCGCUUGAGAGAACUCGGGUGAAGGAACUAGGCAAAAUGGUGCCGUAACUUCGGGAGAAGGCACGCUGAUAUGUAGGUGAAGUCCCUCGCGGAUGGAGCUGAAAUCAGUCGAAGAUACCAGCUGGCUGCAACUGUUUAUUAAAAACACAGCACUGUGCAAACACGAAAGUGGACGUAUACGGUGUGACGCCUGCCCGGUGCCGGAAGGUUAAUUGAUGGGGUUAGCGCAAGCGAAGCUCUUGAUCGAAGCCCCGGUAAACGGCGGCCGUAACUAUAACGGUCCUAAGGUAGCGAAAUUCCUUGUCGGGUAAGUUCCGACCUGCACGAAUGGCGUAAUGAUGGCCAGGCUGUCUCCACCCGAGACUCAGUGAAAUUGAACUCGCUGUGAAGAUGCAGUGUACCCGCGGCAAGACGGAAAGACCCCGUGAACCUUUACUAUAGCUUGACACUGAACAUUGAGCCUUGAUGUGUAGGAUAGGUGGGAGGCUUUGAAGUGUGGACGCCAGUCUGCAUGGAGCCGACCUUGAAAUACCACCCUUUAAUGUUUGAUGUUCUAACGUUGACCCGUAAUCCGGGUUGCGGACAGUGUCUGGUGGGUAGUUUGACUGGGGCGGUCUCCUCCUAAAGAGUAACGGAGGAGCACGAAGGUUGGCUAAUCCUGGUCGGACAUCAGGAGGUUAGUGCAAUGGCAUAAGCCAGCUUGACUGCGAGCGUGACGGCGCGAGCAGGUGCGAAAGCAGGUCAUAGUGAUCCGGUGGUUCUGAAUGGAAGGGCCAUCGCUCAACGGAUAAAAGGUACUCCGGGGAUAACAGGCUGAUACCGCCCAAGAGUUCAUAUCGACGGCGGUGUUUGGCACCUCGAUGUCGGCUCAUCACAUCCUGGGGCUGAAGUAGGUCCCAAGGGUAUGGCUGUUCGCCAUUUAAAGUGGUACGCGAGCUGGGUUUAGAACGUCGUGAGACAGUUCGGUCCCUAUCUGCCGUGGGCGCUGGAGAACUGAGGGGGGCUGCUCCUAGUACGAGAGGACCGGAGUGGACGCAUCACUGGUGUUCGGGUUGUCAUGCCAAUGGCACUGCCCGGUAGCUAAAUGCGGAAGAGAUAAGUGCUGAAAGCAUCUAAGCACGAAACUUGCCCCGAGAUGAGUUCUCCCUGACUCCUUGAGAGUCCUGAAGGAACGUUGAAGACGACGACGUUGAUAGGCCGGGUGUGUAAGCGCAGCGAUGCGUUGAGCUAACCGGUACUAAUGAACCGUGAGGCUUAACCUU